RNAcentral lists this transfer RNA (68 nucleotides) under Monopeltis sphenorhynchus. RNAcentral's name for it is "tRNA-Ser". The record is from RNAcentral. Lineage: Eukaryota; Metazoa; Chordata; Lepidosauria; Squamata; Amphisbaenidae.
ACCAAGAGACGUAUAAACAACCAGAACUGCUAAUUCCGGCCCCCAAGACUAAAAUUCUUGGGUCUCUU